Molecule: long non-coding RNA, 659 nt
Organism: Daphnia magna
Lineage: Eukaryota; Metazoa; Arthropoda; Branchiopoda; Diplostraca; Daphniidae
Exons: 3
Source: RefSeq, a predicted model, not a curated record
GGAGGCUGGUUGAAGAUGUGUCGAAGGAAGCAUCGCAUAACAACAAGUGCGUAGGCGAAGACAGGUCGCCAUUUUGAUGAGUGUCAGUUUCUUUGUUUUUAAAGUGAAAGAUAAGCGAAAAAGAAGAAAGGAAAAGAAUUGAAAGGAGAAUACAGCAGGCGGAAUAGAAGAAGAGUUCGGGACUAAAGGAUUGCUACGCAUCUUGCUGAAAUUAGAAUGGCUUUUUCACUUUUCCACCCGGUGAUGUUUCCAAAUCCGUGUUGUGAAUAUCGUCGCUUCACGACUGCCGAUGUGCAGUUGUUCGAAGAGUUAUUCAACACGGUUCGAAGUGGUGUUUCCUUUCCCGUUGCUCCCGUAUCUGUGGUACAGCCUGUUUGGUGCAACGACUUCUACUACAAAAUCCGGGGAUGAUAUUUAUCAUCCUUCGGUUUCGGUUUCUAACAUAUAUCCGGAGCUGACGUAUUCCGAUAUCCAGAUACGACUUGAGCACCGUCAAGUCCGAUUGGCUGUUUUGAAUCAUUUGAAUGAUUCUUCUGAGGAAGAUUGAUUUGCUUUCCGUCGGUGUGCUUUUUUUUUUCACUAUGGUUUUGUUUUUGUUCUUGUUUUUGUUUUUUUGGUUUUUUUUUUAGUACUGAUUGGAAAUAAAAUCCUUUACUAGA